RNAcentral lists this ribosomal RNA (375 nucleotides) under uncultured organism. RNAcentral describes it as "partial 16S ribosomal RNA". It matches the Rfam family "Bacterial small subunit ribosomal RNA", at positions 528 to 897 of the family's 1533-position model. The record is from RNAcentral.
GAGGUGGCAAGCGUUGUCCGGGAAUUAUUGGGGCGUAAAGCGCGCGCAGGCGGUUCUUUAAGUCUGAUGUGAAAGCCCACGGGCUCAACCGUGGAGGGUCAUUGGAAACUGGAGAACUUGAGUGCAGAAGAGGAAAGCGGAAUUCCACGUGUAGCGGUGAAAUGCGUAGAGAUGUGGAGGAACACCAGUGGCGAAGGCGGCUUUCUGGUCUGUAACUGACGCUGAGGCGCGAAAGCGUGGGGAGCAAACAGGAUUAGAUACCCUGGUAGUCCACGCCGUAAACGAUGAGUGCUAAGUGUUAGGGGGUUUCCGCCCCUUAGUGCUGCAGCUAACGCAUUAAGCACUCCGCCUGGGGAGUACGGCCGCAAAGGCUGA